AUGAAGCAAGAGAUAGAGAGAUUGAGGCUAUGGCAGAAAGUCAUGGAGGAUCAGCGACCAAGACUGGCCUGGAACAACAAACCUAUUGAGACAGGAAGAGAGAGGGAAAGAGAGAGGGAAAGAGAGAGAGAAAGGGAGAUGGAAAGUGAGAGAAAAGCAGAAUUGGAAAGACAAGAAAUGAAGAAGAAAGUGGAACAGGCAGAAGAAACGAUAAAAGUGUUAGAACGAGAGAUUGAGAGAUUGAAAGAGAUUGAGAAGGAAAUCACAUUUGAAAGAGAAAGAGACGUGCGUAUUGGAGAGAAUGAGAAAGUCAAACUGGUUAACAAAAACGUAAAAGAGUUAGAGAGAGAGGUUGAGAGACUGAAAGAAGAUAUGACAACGAAAGAGAUUCAAUACAAAAUCAAAUUUGAAAGAGCGAAAGAAGCGUUUAGAAGACAGAAUGAGAGAGUGAAACAGGUUAACCAAAAUGUACUAGUGUUAGACAGAGAGGUUGUGAGAAUGAAAGAAGAGAUUAGAUUGAAAGACGAGACUGAACCAGAGAGAACAUUUGAUAGAGACAGAGAGAGAGAAAAUGAUUGGAGACGAAGUGAAGAGGAGAUGAAAAAUAGAGUGGAGAGAGAGAUGGAGAUGGAGACAGACCUCAUCAAUGACAAAAAUACGUCUGAAUUGGAGGAAGUCUGCAAGAAAAUCAAGGAACAGCGGAUAGAAUUAGAAAAUAUGGAAACAGACAAAUAUAAAUGGAAACAGAACCAAAUGGACAUGGAGGAGAAGAUGGAGGGUGAGCACAACAAACAGAAAGAGGUAGAAAGAAAGAGAAUGGAGAAAAUACUAAAACAGAGACAAGAAGAAGAUGAGAAGAAGAAGGAGAUGGAGAGAGAAGAAGAAGAGAGACGCAAACAGAAGAACAUAGAGAUGGAAGAGGAAGAACGAGAAAGGGAGAAAGAGAGACAGAGGGAGAUCAAAAGGAAGAGAAUGGAGAAGAGACAGAAAAUUAUGAAAAGAGAAGAAGAGAGACAGAGAGAGAUUGAAAGAGAGAUUGAAGAAGAAAGAUGUAAACAGAAGCAAAUAGAGAUGGAAGAGAUAGAACGAGAAAGGGAGAAAGAGAGACAGAGCGAGAUCAAAAGGAAGAGAAUGGAGAAGAGACAGAAAAUUAUGGAAAGAGAAGAAGAGAGACAGAGAGAGAUUGAAAGAGAGAUUGAAGAAGAAAGAUGUAAACAGAAGCAAAUAGAGAUGGAAGAGGAAGAAAGAGAAAGGGAGAAAGAGAGACAGAGCGAGAUCAAAAGGAAGAGAAUGGAGAAUAGACAGAAAAUUAUGGAAAGAGAAGAAGAGAGACAGAGAGAGAUUGAAAGAGAGAUUGAAGAAGAAAGAUGUAAACAGAAGCAAAUAGAGAUGGAAGAGAUAGAACGAGAAAGGGAGAAAGAGAGACAGAGACAGAUUGAAAGGAAGAGAAUGGAGAAGAGACAGAAAAUUAUGUUAAGAGAAGAAGAGAGACAGAGAGAGAUUGAAAGAGAGAUUGAAGAAGAAAGAUGUAAACAGAAGCAAAUAGAGAUGGAAGAGAUAGAACGAGAAAGGGAAAAAGAGAGACAGAGCGAGAUCAAAAGGAAGAGAAUGGAGAAGAGACAGAAAAUUAUGGAAAGAGAAGAAGAGAGAGAGAGAGAUUGA
This 1662-nucleotide long non-coding RNA is filed under the name Oncorhynchus mykiss (rainbow trout). RNAcentral describes it as "lncRNA (ENSOMYG00000061090.1)". The record is from RNAcentral. Lineage: Eukaryota; Metazoa; Chordata; Actinopteri; Salmoniformes; Salmonidae.